Molecule: long non-coding RNA, 452 nt
Filed under: Salmo salar (Atlantic salmon)
Lineage: Eukaryota; Metazoa; Chordata; Actinopteri; Salmoniformes; Salmonidae
Description: lncRNA (ENSSSAG00000104126.1)
Source: RNAcentral
UACUACAGGACACAGCCAGUCAGAUGGGUAGUUACCAGGUUGGUGAUGGUUACUACAGGACACAGCCAGUCAGAUGGGUAGUUACCAGGUUGGUGAUGGUUGCUACAGGACACAGCCAGUCAGAUGGGUAGUUACCAGGUUGGUGAUGGUUACUACAGGACACAGCCAGUCAGAUGGGUAGUUACCAGGUUGGUGAUGGUUGCUACAGGACACAGCCAGUCAGAUGGGUAGUUACCAGGUUGCUGAUGGUUACUACAGGACACAGCCAGUCAGAUGGGUAGUUACCAGGUUGGUGAUGGUUACUACAGGACACAGCCAGUCAGAUGGGUAGUUACCAGGUUGGUGAUGGAUCCGAAAGAAAGCUGCAGUAAGUCUACCUGUCACAAAUUUAAAGCUGCAAUAUGUACAGUGGGGGAAAAAGUAUUUGAUCCCCUGCUGAUUUUGUACGUUUG